UCUUUUUUUCAUCCUUCCUUUGAUUUCUGGCAUCUUCUCAACGCCGUUGAUCGACCUUCUCAUCAUCGAUCUGUGUGCCCUCCACCGUCGAAUCUGCAUAUCUCCCCGCCUUCAUCUGCGCUCGUUAGGUCGCUGCAUGCAAAAUACCGUAUUUCGAAUGCUCGAAGUGUUGCAGCACGUUUUUGCAGGUUCCGUUUUUCGAACAUUUGCCAGAGCUCCAAUUCAUUCGCACUUUGAUAUAUUUAUUGGGAUGAAGACUAUACAAAGCGUUUCUUUUGGCAAACGUCCUGCGUAGCAAUUCAUGAAAAUGUCAACCUUAGCUAUGUGAUAUACAUUUCGAAAUCCUUGCCAAAUUAUUCCCAUUUAUCACGGCUAAAGUGGUGACAACUUUUUUCGGAACAUCUUGGAAAAUUACGACACGAAGAUAAAAAUCGUCGUUAAAAAAAAACGUCUUUACUUACUGGCGGCGUUAUUUUCAACGAAACUCAUAAGUUUGUGAUAAUAUCAAAGACGAGAUAAGAGAGAAAAAGCCAAUGGGAGCUAACACAGAUAUCGGUGCGCAGUGUU
Wasmannia auropunctata (little fire ant) is the source of this 567-nucleotide long non-coding RNA. RefSeq lists it as uncharacterized. The transcript has 3 exons. NCBI's taxonomy places the organism in Eukaryota, Metazoa, Arthropoda, Insecta, Hymenoptera, Formicidae. The record is from RefSeq and is a predicted model, not a curated record.